This 442-nucleotide ribosomal RNA is filed under the name uncultured bacterium. RNAcentral describes it as "partial 16S ribosomal RNA". It matches the Rfam family "Bacterial small subunit ribosomal RNA", at positions 338 to 795 of the family's 1533-position model. The record is from RNAcentral.
CCUACGGGAGGCAGCAGUAGGGACUCUUUCACAAUGGGCGAAAGCCUGAUGGAGCAACGCCGCGUGCAGGAUGAAGGCCUUCGGGUUGUAAACUGCUUUUAUAAGCGAGAAAUAUGAUGGUAACUUAUGAAUAAGGAUCGGCUAACUACGUGCCAGCAGCCUCGGUCAUACGUAGGAUCCGAGCAUUAUCCGGAGUGACUGGGUGUAAAGAGUUGCGUAGGUGGCAUAAUAAGUAGCUAGUGAAAUCUGGUGGCUCAACCAUUCAGACUAUUAUCUAAACUGUUAAGCUCGAGACCGUUAGGGGUAACUGGAAUUUCUAGUGUAGGAGUGAAAUCCGUAGAUAUUAGAAGGAACACCAAUAGCGUAGGCAGGUUGCUGGGACGGUUCUGACACUAAGGCACGAAAGCGUAGGGAGCAAACGGGAUUAGAUACCCGAGUAGUC